AUGUCGCUUAGAUACUGGCUGAGAUUUCCCAGGUGGACCAUGUUAUUUUUCUUUCUGCGGCUACGGAGAGCUGCUGACUCACUCGGUGUCCUCUCUCCCAGCCGUACGGGGACGGGGGAGGAAGCGUUGCGAGAAGGAGGCCCGCCACAGGAAGAGGACAUGGAUGACGGACUCUGGGCGGGCCCCUUCGGGCCUGUUCGCAGCGUCGUCACAGAGAAUGAGGGGAAGCUGAUGAGGCAGCACAAUGGCCAGGAGGGCGGCGCCAGAAGGCAGGGGACCCCCGGGGAGGGGGACGGCGAGUCGGUGUUCAGCACAUACGGCGAAACGCUCCUUCAGCAGUGCCAGCGAGAACGGGUGGAGCACAUGGGGAGCCCAGAGAGCCCUGAAUCAGCCUCUCGCGUCAGAAAGAAGAAGAAGGUAUUUUGCCUGAAGAGGAAUAACCGAGUGGACCCCCUGAGACCCGACGUGGGGGGAGCGGACAGUCCCAACCUGCACCCAGUUUCAUGGGCUGUUCCUGCAUUCGACAGACUUCCAGAGCACGGCUUCAUGCGGAUGUACAGGACCUUCUGAUUUCCUCCAUCUCCUCACCUUUGGGCAGAGACAUGAUGGUGUCACUUGUGGUGUGUCUGAGGUUGGCACCCAAUUCCUGAAGUUCACGCUCUUCACUGCUCUUUUCCCGUAACUUUUUUUUUUCCCGUGAGUGGUGUAAACUGGUGUGAUUAACGCUGUGGCUACACCUACAGUUUAAUUGUAGGUGGGUUUUAAAGAAGAACCCAGAUGAAUCAAACCUCUACUGUUAUACAUGGUUUUCUGGUAAACUUUGACAACACAAACUAAAACAAUUUCUUACAAGUUCUUUGAUUGAAGUGAGAACCUUAAACUCAUGUCUACUUCAUAGAAUUGUAAUGUGUAACUUUUGUCUUCAUCUCUUCAUAAAGACAGGUAUGAAAGUAAUGUUAUGCCCUUUAAGAGAAUUGAAUACAUGGGCAAAAGGGAAUGUACUGUAGGAAGUGCAUUUAUGGAUUAUGUCAAAUCUGUGAAUGAGUCAGCUGUAUAUAACUCAGUUAUUUCAGUAUUCUUCUAGAAAAAGAAGCUAUUUAUUAUGGAUUAAUAUAUUGUUGAUCUGAAAGAAGCUGCCUGCUGCUACAGCAGCACACAUACUGUAUGGUGGAGGAGUGACACAUGAAUAACAGAGUAAUUAAAUUACUUCAAACAGGUACAAAACUAACAACUUAAAUAUGGGUGACACAGGAAGUAGGUGCUGCUGUCACACAGCACCUGGGUGGUGGUGCGAGAGAAUGUGGGUUUGAUUCCUGCUCAGUCUGUGUGGAGUUUGCAUGUUCUCCCCAUGUCUGUGUGGGGUUUCCUUCGGGUGCUCUGGUUUCCUCCCACAGUCCAAAGACAUGCUGUUCAGGUUUGGCGUGCGUGUGCGAGAGAUCGAGAGAGUGUGUUCCACGGAUGUAUGCGUGACCCAGUGUAAGUAGCGUAUCUAGCAAUGUAAGUUACCUUGGUGAAUAAGGUGUGUUUGUGUGUGGGCUCAUAACACUACAGAGUCAGUGGAAGUUGCUGUGGAGAAAAGUGUGCUAGAUAAAUGUAAAUAGUGUUAAUAAUAUUUUUUUAAAUUUCACAAUUUUUAAUUGUAUAACCAGAAAUUCUAUUUACAGAUCUAUGAAUCAUAAUCAAAGAGUAAAGAUUAUAAUUAAAAUGCAGGAAAAGGAAACCAUACUGCAUUAUAGUAUUUUACUUCCUAAGUAAAUUAGGAAGACUUAAGUGUUAAGCCAGGUGUAGUUGUCAUGGGUGUCAGAGCCAUGGUCUUGUGGGGGAGUUUGGUGUGACUUAAGAUCCUGCUGCGGGAUUUUUGCAUUUAAUGUUUUAUUUUAAUCUCUAGGAAGCUGAUACUUACACAAAUGAGUCAGCAGCGUAAAGGGGUGUAAAAGUGUUGACUAAGCAGUUGGUGCACCGGAGAUGAGAACAAAGCAAACGUGUCGCAGUCGGGGCACUGCGUUUUUAUGACUCCGACUGUAUUUAGGGAACUAUGACUGAGCAGUUCACCGUCAUCUGUAGGGAAAAAAUGUUUGAGGAACAAACUCCUUGACUACUUAAAUAUAGGCUUUUUUUUGGGGGGACUAAAACCACUAUGAUUAGAGCCUCUGAAUGGACUGCUGCAUGUGAGGAUGACGCAGGUCGUACCGUUUGAACGUUUUUCCUUUGCUGGAGGGGGUGAGACAGACCCAGCCGACCCUCUGAUGCCAGCAGACUCUUCCUUCCUCCUCCAGCUGUCCAGCCGUGGGAUUUUGAUUUUCUGCAGUUUAAGCUGCACGCUUUCCCUCGCUGACUUACUCCCCCCCCCAGUGCAAUGGAAACCAAAAUGCGUUUGCAUUAUCAAAAAACACUUCUCCCGUGGAGGGUUGUGGUGAUCCAGAGCCAAUCUUGGAUGCAUUGCGCUCUUAUUGUGCAUACACACAGUAAGGGAAGUUUAGUCACCAGUUCACCUGAACUCUUUGGAUGGGGGGGGGGAAACCAGAGCAGCCAGAGGAAGCUUGCAGGAACCCAGGGAGAAUAAUAUAAGCUCCACCCUAACUAAGCUGGAUUUAAACAAGUAGCACAUGGCCCAUGUUUUCUCUCAACAGCCAGGUGCUUUGAGACAGCAGCCCUAUUCACUGUGCUACCUUACAGUUGUCUAAGAGGAAUCCUUAGGUUCCACUGCACUCUUGAAGGGAUCUUCUGCUCUACAGCAUACGAAUAGAACCUGCUAGCAUGUUAAUCAUUUUUAUUUUAUAAAAUGUCUGCUAAAUAAAUGUAAAUAUAAACCCA
Long non-coding RNA from Scleropages formosus (Asian bonytongue), 2814 nucleotides. Lineage: Eukaryota; Metazoa; Chordata; Actinopteri; Osteoglossiformes; Osteoglossidae. The record is from Ensembl.